AAAUUGAAGAGUUUGAUCAUGGCUCAGAUUGAACGCUGGCGGCAGGCCUAACACAUGCAAGUCGAGCGGUAGCACAGAGAGCUUGCUCUCGGGGUGACGAGCGGACGGGUGAGUAAUGUCUGGGAAACUGCCUGAUGGAGGGGAUAACUACUGGAAACGGUAGCUAAUACCGCAUAAUGUCGCAAGACCAAAGUGGGGACCUUCGGUCGCCAUCAGAUGUGCCCAGAUGGGAUUAGUGGUAGUGGGGUAACGGCUCAGGGACGAUCCCUAGCUGGUCUGAGAGGAUGACCAGCCACACUGGAACUGAGACACGGUCCAGACUUCUACGGGAGGCAGCAGUGGGGAAUACACAAUGGCGCAAAUGCAGCCAUGCCGCGUGUGUGAAGAAGGCUUCGGUUGUAAAGCACUUUCAGCGGGGAGGAACGUGAGGUAAUAACUCAUGAUUGACGUUACCCGCAGAAGAAGCACCGUUAUCCGUGCCAGCAGCCGCGGUAAUACGCCACAAGCGUUAAUCGGAAUUACUGGCGUAAAGCGCACGCAGGCGGUCUGGUAGUCGAUGUGAAAUCCCCGUUGGGAACUGCAUUCGAAACUGGCAGGCUAGAGUCUUGUAGAGGGGGUAGAGAAUUCCAGGGUGCGGUGAAAUGCGUAGAAUCUGGAGGAACGGUUGGCGAAGCGCCCCUGACAAAGACUGACGCUCAGGUGCGAAAGCGUGGGAGCAAACAGGAUUAGAUACCCUGGUAGUCCACGCCGGAAACGAUGUCGAUUUGAGGUUGUGCCUUGGCGUGGCUUCCGGAUGCUAACGCGUUAAAUCGACCGCCUGGGGAACGGCCGCAAGGUUAAAACUCAAAUGAAUUGACGGGGGCCCGCACAAGCGGUGGAGCAUGUGGUUUAAUUCGAUGCAACGCGAAGAACCUUACGGUCUUGACAUCCACAGAACUUUCCAGAGAUGGAUUGGUGCUUCGGGAACUGUGAGACAGGUGCUGCAUGGCUGUCGUCAGCUCGUGUUGUGAAAUGUUGGGUUAAGUCCCGCAACGAGCUCAUCCUUUGUUGCCAGCGGUUAGGCCGGGAACUCAAAGGAGACUGCCAGUGAUAAACUGGAGGAAGUUGGGAUGACGUCAAGUCAUCAUGGCCCUGGACCAUUACACACGUGCUACAAUGGCAUAUACAAAGAGAAGCGACCUCGUUAACAGUAUGUCGUAGUCCGGAUUGGAGUCUGCAACUCAACUCCAUGAAGUCGGAAUCGCUAAAUCGGUCGAUCAGAAUGCUACGGUGAAUACGUUCCCGGCCUUGUACACGCCGCCCGUCACACCAUGGGAGUGGGUUGCAAAGAAGUAGGUAGCUUAACCUUCCGGGAGGGCGCUUACCACUUUGUGAUUCAUGACUGGGGUGAAGUCGUAACAGGUAACCGUAGGGAACCUGCGGUUGGAUCACCUCCUGC
RNAcentral lists this ribosomal RNA (1438 nucleotides) under Klebsiella pneumoniae. RNAcentral's name for it is "bacterial SSU rRNA". It matches the Rfam family "Bacterial small subunit ribosomal RNA". Lineage: Bacteria; Pseudomonadati; Pseudomonadota; Gammaproteobacteria; Enterobacterales; Enterobacteriaceae. The record is from RNAcentral.